This 502-nucleotide long non-coding RNA is filed under the name Prunus dulcis (almond). Its description in RNAcentral is "sRNA ncRNA". Lineage: Eukaryota; Viridiplantae; Streptophyta; Magnoliopsida; Rosales; Rosaceae. The record is from RNAcentral.
UUUUUCUUUUGUUCUCUCUGUUUUCACAUAUGUUUGUGAAGUGAUUGGUACAGUCAUCCACUACAUCAUCGAAGUUUUUGACAUAGCCUUCAAGGCCUGCUGAUUUUCCAUGGCCUUCAUAGUCAAUCCCAUAUAAGGCAAAGCCUGCUUUGGCAAGCCUGAUUGCAAUACGGUUCAUGGUGAUGCUGCAUUCCAUGGCGUAUCCAUGACAGAUGAAGAUUAAGGCCUUGGGUGUGGUGUUUUUUUUUUUUUUUUUGGGAGCCAUCUGCAUGUGAAAAGCUUCAAGCCUCGAGAAUUUAAGAUCAACUCCUCUUCAUAUUUGACACCUUCCAUAUCAGAGGCCAUGAUGUGUGUUAAGAGUGCUUGAUAUCAGGAAGAAUGCUAAGAGUAUGAGUGAGAGAAAUAUAUGCCAGAUUCAGAUGGAAGUUGGCAACUAGAGAGAAGUAUUGGGAAGUUGAUAUUUGUUUAUAUAGAAAACUCUGGCUUUGCCUGUCCUGGCUAG